RNAcentral lists this long non-coding RNA (737 nucleotides) under Vulpes vulpes (red fox). RNAcentral's name for it is "lncRNA (ENSVVUG00000029234.1)". Lineage: Eukaryota; Metazoa; Chordata; Mammalia; Carnivora; Canidae. The record is from RNAcentral.
AGUGUCUCUAUCCCAACCACUUAACUCAGGAUCUCUGGGAAUGGGGCCCCGGCAUCUGCAUUAUGGAAAGCACCGCAGGAGAUUGCGGUGUACAACCAGGUACUCUGUGCAGAGAGCAGAUUCUGGGACAGGGGCCACAGCUGGGCCACCUUCCCCAUGCUCAGGAAUAAUAAUAAUUAUGAGUUACGACGAGGUGGCAGGCUAGUGUGGCAGGCAGGCAGGCAGGCAGGAAGAAGCUAUUUAGAAAUAACACGGUUGCACUUCUGCAUUCUAGGGUAGAGGCUGCCUGCACCUCACAGGUGGGCAGUGACUUGAGUGGCUCCUGGUGGUUGAGACAGGCAGCAUUUGCCAGCUUCAUGCCCUCUCCUGUUCCCAACCAGGCCCCGGGCUGCAGGGAAUCACGGUCACGGGGCUCCCGGGUUGGCCCGGCCCAGGGGGAGCUGGGAUCACACACGGCAAGGGGGGCAAGGGGCAGUGAUCACCUCCAUUGCCCUCCGGUGGGUUUCUUUCCCACCUGGUUCCUCCUCGGCCUUCCUAAUUACUGUUCCGCCCUAAUCCCUGGGCUUCUCUUUGAUGACGAUUCCCAUUCCCACCCGUGGACUGUUUCCAGAGGGAAAGAGAAAAAGGCAAGAACAAGCUGCUGGAACUAAGCUUUCUCUCAUCUCUUCAAGGAAGAUAUGACACCAACUUUGUUUUAGCAGAGACAAAACCCAAAUAAAUCAUCCACAGAGGGACCA